RNAcentral lists this ribosomal RNA (253 nucleotides) under uncultured bacterium. RNAcentral's name for it is "partial 16S ribosomal RNA". It matches the Rfam family "Bacterial small subunit ribosomal RNA", at positions 524 to 776 of the family's 1533-position model. The record is from RNAcentral.
UACGUAGGUGGCAAGCGUUGUCCGGAUUUACUGGGCGUAAAGAGCGCGCAGGCGGUCGUGCAAGUCGCGUGUGAAAGCCCCCGGCUCAACCCAGGAACUGCGUCCGAUACUGGAAGGCUUGAAUCCGGGAGAGGGAUGCGGAAUUCCAGGUGUAGCGGUGAAAUGCGUAGAUAUCUGGAGGAACACCGGUGGCGAAGGCGGCAUCCUGGACCGGUAUUGACGCUGAGGCGCGAAAGCCAGGGGAGCAAACGGG